AUGAACGCUGGCGGCGUGCCUAAUACCUGCAAGUCGAGCGAACGGACGAGAAGCUUGCUUCUCUGAUGUUAGCGGCGGACGGGUGAGUAACACGUGAAUAACCUACCUAUAAGACUGGGAUAACUUCGGGAAACCGGAGCUAAUACCGGAUGAUAUUUUGAACCGCAUGGUUCAAAAGUGAAAGACGGUCUUGCUGUCACUUAUAGAUGGAUCCGCGCUGCAUUAGCUAGUUGGUAAGGUAACGGCUUACCAAGGCAACGAUGCAUAGCCGACCUGAGAGGGUGAUCGGCCACACUGGAACUGAGACACGGUCCAGACUCCUACGGGAGGCAGCAGUAGGGAAUCUUCCGCAAUGGGCGAAAGCCUGACGGAGCAACGCCGCGUGAGUGAUGAAGGUCUUCGGAUCGUAAAACUCUGUUAUUAGGGAAGAACAUAUGUGUAAGUAACUGUGCACAUCUUGACGGUACCUAAUCAGAAAGCCACGGCUAACUACGUG
RNAcentral lists this ribosomal RNA (496 nucleotides) under uncultured bacterium. RNAcentral's name for it is "partial 16S ribosomal RNA". It matches the Rfam family "Bacterial small subunit ribosomal RNA", at positions 29 to 507 of the family's 1533-position model. The record is from RNAcentral.